Triticum aestivum (bread wheat) is the source of this 1176-nucleotide RNA transcript. It is a transcript of the gene named chaperone protein dnaJ 11, chloroplastic, with no coding region annotated. The transcript is spliced from 2 exons. Lineage: Eukaryota; Viridiplantae; Streptophyta; Magnoliopsida; Poales; Poaceae. The record is from RefSeq and is a predicted model, not a curated record.
AUAAAUCCAGCGGCGUCUCAGCUCUCCUCGACGAGGACGGACAACGGUGCAACGAAAAAAGUAUCAAGAACAGAGAUAGGAGAAUCGAUGGCUACGUUCGCGACGUCGACGGCGGCGGUGAUGGGAUCGGCUCGCCCGGGGCGGGUGGCCGGGCCUCGGCGGUGCGUGGUGGCGCGGGCGUCCUCGACGAUGGCGGCACCGGCGGCCCUGGCGACGGGAAGGACGCACUACGAUGUGCUCGGCGUGAGCGCCGGGGCGAGCAGGGGGGAGAUCAAGGCGGCGUACCGGCGUCGGGCCAGGGAGGUGCACCCGGACGCUGCUGGUGGCGUCGGCGACGAGGGGUUCAUCCAGCUCCACGCGGCUUACGCCACGCUCGCUGACCCCGACGAGCGCGCUCGCUACGACAGCGACAUGGCCUGCCGCGCCGCCGGGACGAUGAUGAUGCGACGGGCGGGCGCGGCUGGGCCGUCGUUCCGGCGGAGGACGUGGGAGACUGACCAGUGCUGGUAGGACGUACGGCCGGCAAACGCGGCGGCCCUCCGGGCCCCCAACCGGCUGCCGCCCGGUUCGCUCAGGCACGGCGCUGGCGAGAAGAUCCUGACGGCUAUCCUGCAACGUACGAUCAGGAUUGGACGUCCCAGAUCGGGCGAUGCGGACGCGGGAGCUCUGUACACAUCAAGAGGCGUUUUUAAAGAUCUCUUGUGCGUCCGAUCUCAGAGUAAACAGAAGACAAAGAACAGAGAAUUAGGAAAACAAAACUUUGGAGGUAAUUCUUAUUUUACUCCUCUUUUACCCCCAGGCGGUUUAUUUUCUAUGCGAUUAGGCAAGCAAUACAAUCACGCCAUUACAGUCAUACGAACCGUUUGAUACGGAAAAACAUGGCCUAGAUCAAUGCUCUCGUUUACAUGUGGAUUUGAGUCAUUUUUUUUCACAUAACACCCCCUACGGUGACACUAUGUGUUGGACUCUUCAUCCUUAAUCAUCCCCAAAUCUACCCCUCUCUUCUUCCUCUGGAAAUUCCUUUUAGGGCUGCAUUGUUUUUGUAGGCCAACAAUGCAAUAUGAGAUUCCUCUACCCACUGCCAUGAGGUGGUGCUCCAAACGGUUAGGCUCAGGGCCGACCUAAAUAUAGGACAAUAAGGCCCAACAGCGGAGCUUGAGCCAAAAACAUUAGGGG